This is a small nucleolar RNA of Vigna unguiculata (cowpea), 107 nucleotides long. NCBI's taxonomy places the organism in Eukaryota, Viridiplantae, Streptophyta, Magnoliopsida, Fabales, Fabaceae. The record is from RefSeq and is a predicted model, not a curated record.
AUCUGGUGGUGUGGGCAACAAGAACAUAAAUUCUUGAAUCUCUCCCAAUAUUCGUAGACACUCUCCCCAUAUUGUUGCUUGCUGCCAGAAAUCUCCUUCCUUAUGGU